Molecule: ribosomal RNA, 550 nt
Filed under: uncultured bacterium
Lineage: Bacteria
Description: bacterial SSU rRNA
Rfam family: Bacterial small subunit ribosomal RNA
Source: RNAcentral
UAGGGAAUCUUCGGCAAUGGACGAAAGUCUGACCGAGCAACGCCGCGUGAGUGAAGAAGGUUUUCGGAUCGUAAAGCUCUGUUGUAAGAGAAGAACGGGUGUGAGAGUGGAAAGUUCACACUGUGACGGUAUCUUACCAGAAAGGGACGGCUAACUACGUGCCAGCAGCCGCGGUAAUACGUAGGUCCCGAGCGUUGUCCGGAUUUAUUGGGCGUAAAGCGAGCGCAGGCGGUUAGAUAAGUCUGAAGUUAAAGGCUGUGGCUUAACCAUAGUACGCUUUGGAAACUGUUUAACUUGAGUGCAGAAGGGGAGAGUGGAAUUCCAUGUGUAGCGGUGAAAUGCGUAGAUAUAUGGAGGAACACCGGUGGCGAAAGCGGCUCUCUGGUCUGUAACUGACGCUGAGGCUCGAAAGCGUGGGGAGCGAACAGGAUUAGAUACCCUGGUAGUCCACGCCGUAAACGAUGAGUGCCAGGUGUUAGGCCCUUUCCGGGGCUUAGUGCCGCAGCUAACGCAUUAAGCACUCCGCCUGGGGAGUACGACCGCAAGGUUG